RNAcentral lists this small RNA (104 nucleotides) under Escherichia coli. RNAcentral describes it as "partial RtT sRNA". It matches the Rfam family "RtT RNA", at positions 1 to 100 of the family's 130-position model. From Rfam's summary of the family: This family represents a bacterial cis-regulatory element known as RtT RNA. The exact function of RtT is unknown although it is thought that it may be involved in changing the cellular response in relation to amino acid starvation. The record is from RNAcentral. Lineage: Bacteria; Pseudomonadati; Pseudomonadota; Gammaproteobacteria; Enterobacterales; Enterobacteriaceae.
UGCAUCUGCAGCUCAUGAGGAUGAGAACCUCCGGGGGCAGGGAGGUUCGACUCGAGCGAAGCGAGAGAACGUUGCGCCAGCAACGGCCCGCAGGGCGAGCCACG